RNAcentral lists this ribosomal RNA (1473 nucleotides) under metagenome. Its description in RNAcentral is "bacterial SSU rRNA". It matches the Rfam family "Bacterial small subunit ribosomal RNA". The record is from RNAcentral.
AGAGUUUGAUCCUGGCUCAGGACGAACGCUGGCGGCGUGCCUAACACAUGCAAGUCGAACGGGGUGAGGCCCUUCGGGACCUUACCUAGUGGCGAACGGGUGAGUAACGCGUGAGGAACCUGCCUUUCAGUGGGGGACAACAGUUGGAAACGACUGCUAAUACCGCAUGAAGCUUUUGGGAGACAUCUCCUGGAAGCCAAAGCUUAAUGUGCUGAAAGAUGGCCUCGCGUCUGAUUAGCUAGUUGGUGGGGUAACGGCCCACCAAGGCGACGAUCAGUAGCCGGUCUGAGAGGAUGAACGGCCACAUUGGGACUGAGAUACGGCCCAGACUCCUACGGGAGGCAGCAGUGGGGAAUAUUGGGCAAUGGGCGAAAGCCUGACCCAGCAACGCCGCGUGAAGGAAGAAGGCCUUCGGGUUGUAAACUUCUUUUACCAGGGACGAAGGACGUGACGGUACCUGGAGAUAAAGCAACGGCUAACUACGUGCCAGCAGCCGCGGUAAUACGUAGGUUGCAAGCGUUGUCCGGAUUUACUGGGUGUAAAGGGCGUGUAGGCGGAGAUGCAAGUUAGGAGUGAAAUCUAUGGGCUCAACCCAUAAACUGCUUCUAAAACUGUAUCCCUUGAGUAUCGGAGAGGCAAGCGGAAUUCCUAGUGUAGCGGUGAAAUGCGUAGAUAUUAGGAGGAACACCAGUGGCGAAGGCGGCUUGCUGGACGACAACUGACGCUGAGGCGCGAAAGCGUGGGGAGCAAACAGGAUUAGAUACCCUGGUAGUCCACGCUGUAAACGAUGAAUACUAGGUGUGGGGGGACUGACCCCCUCCGUGCCGCAGUUAACACAAUAAGUAUUCCACCUGGGGAGUACGACCGCAAGGUUGAAACUCAAAGGAAUUGACGGGGGCCCGCACAAGCAGUGGAUUAUGUGGUUUAAUUCGACGCAACGCGAAGAACCUUACCAGGACUUGACAUCCAACUAACGAAGUAGAGAUACAUCAGGUGCCCUUCGGGGAAAGUUGAGACAGGUGGUGCAUGGUUGUCGUCAGCUCGUGUCGUGAGAUGUUGGGUUAAGUCCCGCAACGAGCGCAACCCCUAUUGUUAGUUGCUACGAAAGAGCACUCUAGCGAGACUGCCGUUGACAAAACGGAGGAAGGCGGGGACGACGUCAAAUCAUCAUGCCCCUUAUGUCCUGGGCUACACACGUAAUACAAUGGUGGCCAACAGAGGGAAGCGAAGCCGUGAGGCGGAGCAAAUCCCUAAAAGCCAUCUCAGUUCGGAUUGCAGGCUGCAACUCGCCUGCAUGAAGCUGGAAUUGCUAGUAGUCGCGGAUCAGCAUGCCGCGGUGAAUACGUUCCCGGGCCUUGUACACACCGCCCGUCACACCAUGAGAGUCGGGAACACCCGAAGUCCGUAGUCUAACCGCAAGGGGGGCGCGGCCGAAGGUGGGUCCGGUAAUUGGGGUGAAGUCGUAACAAGGUA